This 274-nucleotide ribosomal RNA is filed under the name marine snow associated bacterium Adriatic50. RNAcentral describes it as "partial 16S ribosomal RNA". It matches the Rfam family "Bacterial small subunit ribosomal RNA", at positions 180 to 455 of the family's 1533-position model. The record is from RNAcentral.
UUUAAGACAUAAGUCUGCAAGGGAAACGCUUUUGUGCUUAGAGAUGGGACUGUACAGUAUCAGCUAGUUGGUAAGGUAACGGCUUACCAAGGCUAUGACGCUUAACUGGUUUGAGAGGAUGAUCAGUCACACUGGAACUGAGACACGGUCCAGACUCCUACGGGAGGCAGCAGUGGGGAAUAUUGCACAAUGGGGGAAACCCUGAUGCAGCAACGCCGCGUGGAGGAUGACACUUUUCGGAGCGUAAACUCCUUUUAUAUCCCAAGAUAAUGAC